GUGGCGACCGGCGCACGGGUGCGUAACGCGUAUGCAACCUACCUUUUACUGGAGGAUAGCCUUUAGAAAUGAAGAUUAAUACUCCAUAAUAUUUAGAUUCAGCAUUGGAUUUAGAUUAAAGUUUCGGCGGUAAAAGAUGGGCAUGCGUUUUAUUAGUUAGAUGGUAAGGUAACGGCUUACCAAGACUACGAUAAAUAGGGGUCCUGAGAGGGAGAUCCCCCACACUGGUACUGAGACACGGACCAGACUCC
Molecule: ribosomal RNA, 251 nt
Filed under: uncultured bacterium
Lineage: Bacteria
Description: partial 16S ribosomal RNA
Rfam family: Bacterial small subunit ribosomal RNA
Source: RNAcentral